GAUGAACGCUGGCGGCGUGCCUAAUACAUGCAAGUCGAGCGAACUGAUUAGAAGCUUGCUUCUAUGACGUUAGCGGCGGACGGGUGAGUAACACGUGGGCAACCUGCCUGUAAGACUGGGAUAACUUCGGGAAACCGAAGCUAAUACCGGAUAGGAUCUUCUCCUUCAUGGGAGAUGAUUGAAAGAUGGUUUCGGCUAUCACUUACAGAUGGGCCCGCGGUGCAUUAGCUAGUUGGUGAGGUAACGGCUCACCAAGGCAACGAUGCAUAGCCGACCUGAGAGGGUGAUCGGCCACACUGGGACUGAGACACGGCCCAGACUCCUACGGGAGGCAGCAGUAGGGAAUCUUCCGCAAUGGACGAAAGUCUGACGGAGCAACGCCGCGUGAGUGAUGAAGGCUUUCGGGUCGUAAAACUCUGUUGUUAGGGAAGAACAAGUACGAGAGUAACUGCUCGUACCUUGACGGUACCUAACCAGAAAGCCACGGCUAACUACGUGCCAGCCGCCGCCGUAA
This 514-nucleotide ribosomal RNA is filed under the name uncultured bacterium. RNAcentral's name for it is "partial 16S ribosomal RNA". It matches the Rfam family "Bacterial small subunit ribosomal RNA", at positions 28 to 523 of the family's 1533-position model. The record is from RNAcentral.